This 273-nucleotide ribosomal RNA is filed under the name uncultured bacterium. RNAcentral's name for it is "partial 16S ribosomal RNA". It matches the Rfam family "Bacterial small subunit ribosomal RNA", at positions 524 to 796 of the family's 1533-position model. The record is from RNAcentral.
UACGGAGGGUGCAAGCGUGAUCCGGAUUCACUGGGUUUAAAGGGUGCGUAGGUGGGCAGGUAAGUCAGUGGUGAAAUCUCCGGGCUUAACCCGGAAACUGCCAUUGAUACUAUCUGUCUUGAAUACCCUGGAGGUGAGCGGAAUAUGUCAUGUAGCGGUGAAAUGCUUAGAUAUGACAUAGAACACCCAUUGCGAAGGCAGCUCACUACGGGAAUAUUGACACUGAGGCACGAAAGCGUGGGGAUCAAACAGGAUUAGAAAACCCUGUAGUCC